CGGGCUCACAAUCCAAAAACCUUUGUUGGUUUUACGGGCUCACCAACGAACCUAUACACUUUGGUUUUCCGGGUUCACCAAAAACCUUUGUUGGUUUUGCGGGCUCACCAACUAACCUUUACACUUUGGUUUUCCGGAUUCACCAAAAACCUUUGUUGGUUUUGCGGGCUCACCAACUAACCUUUACACUUUGGUUUUCCGGGUUCACCAAAAAUCUUUGUUGGUUUUGCGGGCUCACCAACUAACCUUUACAAAGUGUUUAAUUAACAAAAGGAAAGAUUCAAACUCCUAAAUGAGCAUAUGAAACAAUAUGAACUACAAAGAAGAGUUAGAAAGUAUUUAUCGCUUUGAAGUCGCUUUGCUCUUCUUUGUCAAGGAUGCUUCACUCUUCAAGGGAGGAUGGAGCUCUUGAUGACUCUUUGAAUCUGCUCAACCCCUUUCUUUUGACUCUUGAAUGAAGCACUUGGAUGAAGCUUGCCUUGCUAGGGUUCUUUCUUGAAUGCACUUGAUGUAUUUUCCCAAAAGCUUGCUUCCUCUGAUGAAUACUCCCUCUUAAAUACUUUUCCAACCUCCAAAUAGUCCUUUCUAACCAUUGGAUUGAAGAAACUAGCCGUUUAUAGCCGUUGGGAGUCCAAAAAGCAUUUCUGCACAACUAGCCGUUAUGUUCAGCCCGUGUUUGGGUCGGCUCAACCUGUCCUUGGGUCGACCCAACCUUCACUUGGGUCGACUCAAAUAUUCCUUGGGUCGACCCUCUCAGAAACCACAGAAACCUCAAUUUCAGCCUUCCUUCCCAUGGGUCGACCCAACCAUUCUUUGGGUCGACUCAAAGUC
This 831-nucleotide long non-coding RNA is filed under the name Phoenix dactylifera (date palm). Its description in RNAcentral is "long non-coding RNA (PDAC_LNC017615)". The record is from RNAcentral. Lineage: Eukaryota; Viridiplantae; Streptophyta; Magnoliopsida; Arecales; Arecaceae.